This 458-nucleotide ribosomal RNA is filed under the name uncultured Sphingobacteriales bacterium. RNAcentral describes it as "bacterial SSU rRNA". It matches the Rfam family "Bacterial small subunit ribosomal RNA", at positions 924 to 1382 of the family's 1533-position model. Lineage: Bacteria; Pseudomonadati; Bacteroidota; Sphingobacteriia; Sphingobacteriales. The record is from RNAcentral.
CACAAGCGGAGGAGCAUGUGGUUUAAUUCGAUGAUACGCGAGGAACCUUACCUGGGCUCGAACGUAAGAUGACUGUAGGUGAAAGCUUACAUCUCUUCGGAGCAUUUUACGAGGUGCUGCAUGGUUGUCGUCAGCUCGUGCCGUGAGGUGUCGGGUUAAGUCCCAUAACGAGCGCAACCCCUACCUUUAGUUGCCAUCAGGUUAAGCUGGGGACUCUAAAGGAACUGCCUACGCAAGUAGUGAGGAAGGCGGGGAUGACGUCAAAUCAGCACGGCCCCUACGUCCAGGGCUACACACGUGCUACAAUGGCCGAUACAGAGGGCAGCUACCUGGUGACAGGAUGCAAAUCUCCAAAGUCGGUCUCAGUUCGGAUCGGAGUCUGCAACCCGACUCCGUGAAGUUGGAUUCGCUAGUAAUCGCGCAUCAGCCAUGGCGCGGUGAAUACGUUCCCGGGCCUU